Molecule: ribosomal RNA, 197 nt
Filed under: uncultured bacterium
Lineage: Bacteria
Description: partial 16S ribosomal RNA
Rfam family: Bacterial small subunit ribosomal RNA
Source: RNAcentral
ACGCUCGACACCUACGGAGGCAGCAGUGGGGAAUAUUGCACAAUGGGGGAAACCCUGAUGCAGCGACGCCGCGUGGAGGAAGAAGGUCUUCGGAUUGUAAACUCCUGUUGUUGGGGAAAAAGAGGAUGGUACCCAACAAGGAAGUGACGGCUAACUACGUGCCGGCAGCCACGGUAAUCUGAGCGGGCUGGCAAGGC